UACGGAGGGGGCUAGCGUUGUUCGGAAUUACUGGGCGUAAAGCGUGCGCAGGCGGUUUUGUAAGUCUGACGUGAAAUCCCCGGGCUCAACCUGGGAAUUGCGUUGGAGACUGCAAGGCUAGAAUCUGGCAGAGGGGGGUAGAAUUCCACGUGUAGCAGUGAAAUGCGUAGAUAUGUGGAGGAACACCGAUGGCGAAGGCAGCCCCCUGGGUCAAGAUUGACGCUCAUGCACGAAAGCGUGGGGAGCAAACAGG
Molecule: ribosomal RNA, 253 nt
Filed under: uncultured bacterium
Lineage: Bacteria
Description: partial 16S ribosomal RNA
Rfam family: Bacterial small subunit ribosomal RNA
Source: RNAcentral